This 91-nucleotide transfer RNA is filed under the name Chloroflexota bacterium. RNAcentral's name for it is "Chloroflexi bacterium (sediment metagenome) tRNA-Ser". It matches the Rfam family "tRNA". Rfam says of the family: Transfer RNA (tRNA) molecules are approximately 80 nucleotides in length. Their secondary structure includes four short double-helical elements and three loops (D, anti-codon, and T loops). The record is from RNAcentral. Lineage: Bacteria; Bacillati; Chloroflexota. RNAcentral also lists the same sequence under 1 other name.
GGAGGGGUGGCCGAGUGGUUUAAGGCAGCGGUCUUGAAAACCGCCGGCUGGCUCCGCCAGCCCGUGGGUUCGAAUCCCACCCCCUCCGCCC